AUUGAACGCUGGCGGCAGGCCUAACACAUGCAAGUCGAGCGGAUGAAGGGAGCUUGCUCCUGGAUUCAGCGGCGGACGGGUGAGUAAUGCCUAGGAAUCUGCCUGGUAGUGGGGGAUAACGUCCGGAGACGGGCGCUAAUACCGCAUACGUCCUGAGGGUGAAAGUGGGGGAUCUUCGGACCUCACGCUAUCAGAUGAGCCUAGGUCGGAUUAGCUAGUUGGUGGGGUAAAGGCCUACCAAGGCGACGAUCCGUAACUGGUCUGAGAGGAUGAUCAGUCACACUGGAACGGAGACACGGUCCAGACUCCUACGGGAGGCAGCAGUGGGGAAUAUUGGACAAUGGGCGAAAGCCUGAUCCAGCCAUGCCGCGUGUGUGAAGAAGGUCUUCGGAUUGUAAAGCACUUUAAGUUGGGAGGAAGGGCAGUAAGUUAAUACCUUGCUGUUUUGACGUUACCAACAGAAUAAGCACCGGCUAACUUCGUG
This 484-nucleotide ribosomal RNA is filed under the name uncultured bacterium. Its description in RNAcentral is "partial 16S ribosomal RNA". It matches the Rfam family "Bacterial small subunit ribosomal RNA", at positions 30 to 507 of the family's 1533-position model. The record is from RNAcentral.